UUAUGAUUUCGCGCCAUUUUUUGUUUCUGCACUCGCUUUGAACUUUCAUGGCUUUAACAGCAGUUAUCGACUGACGACUUUGCUGUAUUACAUAGUGUACUUGGUACAUAAUUGAUCAACGAUAAUAGGAGGAACCCCUGCAAGCUUUAAAGGGCUCGUGUUACUUUAACAUCACUUUUGAAUUUCACGAAAGCAGAUAAAAGUUUUAGUGACGUUGCAGAAACUCCGGAAUACUGUGGAUUGGGAGGAGGAGAAAGUGAUAAUUCUGUUAUAUGGCCUGUUUCUAGGACACGAUAAACUUCCUAAUAAGUUAACAACUCUACCUCGAUUCGAUGCAGUGCACAGUGGGAAAGGUUGAAGUUGACGUUCAAGCAGUCACCCUGCCGAACAAGAAAUCUUUCAGGCCAAGAGGCUAGGUGACUAGAAACUCAAUCACUAUAUCCGUGAAACUUGUCGGGAGCACUGUUAUUUGUGGAGGUCGGACCGAAACUGUAAUCAGACACUAAACAUUGACGAGGACCAAUUACUCUACUCUUUCAAUGAUUAAUAAAGAUCGCUGAUUGCUUUUACUAAUGUAUAAUGUUAAAAUGAAAGAGAAACUAUCGAGACGAAAGAGAAAAAGGCACUCAUUUAUUUAUAGUUUUAUGUCUUAACAAUGAUAUUCGAAAGCUAAUUUUAAAAACUGGCUCUGAAUCCUUGCUAAAUGAUUUGGGAAGGUGUAAGGGCUUAAUAUGCCUGUAGACAUCAUUUUCAGUGGGUUUUAUGAAGUUUAUGAUUAGAGUAUAUUUUGGGACUGAAAUAAGCGCAAGACCUUCGACGUUUCUAUUCCUACUGUUUUUUUAAUUUAGCAAAUAUACAAACAAAUUUUAUACUGUUGUAAAGAUAAAAUAUUUAGUUAUCGGAUAGAGACUUGAAAAUUAAGUAUUACAAUAACCAAGCUAAAAUAUUCAAUGUUAAACUCAAAAAUUUUCACGCGUCUAUGAAGAAAUAUUUAGUUCUGCGCGUAGUUUUUUGGUCACAUCUACGGCAAAUUUUCGCCAAUUUUGUUCAUAGUUUCAAAAUGUUAUUUAGUAGACAAAUUACUUUCGGACUACA
Long non-coding RNA from Bolinopsis microptera, 1095 nucleotides. RefSeq lists it as uncharacterized. The transcript has 4 exons. The record is from RefSeq and is a predicted model, not a curated record. Lineage: Eukaryota; Metazoa; Ctenophora; Tentaculata; Lobata; Bolinopsidae.